GUUGUACCGGUACACUUUACUUCAGACUUGAUUUUUAGCUCCGUCUCGAUUCUAUUUCUCGCCGAUCGAUGCCAAAACCCUUCUAACACUUCUAGAACUCAUUUUUAACCCUCCCAACACUGUUGGUAGGUUAAUUGGAACUCGCCCAAUUAAUUCAUUCGCGCACUUUAAUCAAUUUGCCUAAAGUUCGCCAUUUUCUAUCUAGGUUUCGAUACGUUACAACAGCGGAGCCUGUCCAACUCCAGCUGCAGCCUGCUGCUGCACCACCUGCUGGACUAAUCCUGCCAAUGCAGCCAACUGCUCCUCCAAC
RNAcentral lists this long non-coding RNA (310 nucleotides) under Ananas comosus (pineapple). Its description in RNAcentral is "long non-coding RNA (ACOM_LNC017085)". Lineage: Eukaryota; Viridiplantae; Streptophyta; Magnoliopsida; Poales; Bromeliaceae. The record is from RNAcentral.